CUGAGUACGGCGGAACACGUGAAAUUCCGUCGGAAUCCGGGAGGACCAUCUCCCAAGGCUAAAUACUCCCUAGUGACCGAUAGUGAACCAGUACCGUGAGGGAAAGGUGAAAAGCACCCCGGAAGGGGAGUGAAACAGUUCCUGAAACCGUGUGCCUACAAGUAGUUAGAGCCCGUUAAUGGGUGAUAGCGUGCCUUUUGUAGAAUGAACCGGCGAGUUACGAUUUGUUGCAAGGUUAAGCGGAAAAAGCGGAGCCGUAGCGAAAGCGAGUCUGAAUAGGGCGCAUAAGUAACAGGUCGUAGACCCGAAACCAGGUGAUCUACCCAUGUCCAGGAUGAAGGUAAGGUAAUACUUACUGGAGGUCCGAACCCACGCACGUUGAAAAGUGCGGGGAUGAGGUGUGGGUAGCGGAGAAAUUCCAAUCGAACUUGGAGAUAGCUGGUUCUCUCCGAAAUAGCUUUAGGGCUAGCCUCGAGGUAAAGAGUCAUGGAGGUAGAGCACUGUUUGGACUAGGGGCCCUUCUCGGGUUACCGAAUUCAGAUAAACUCCGAAUGCCAUGUACUUAUACUCGGGAGUCAGACUGCGAGUGAUAAGAUCCGUAGUCGAAAGGGAAACAGCCCAGACCACCAGUUAAGGUCCCCAAAUAUAUGUUAAGUGGAAAAGGAUGUGGGGUUGCUUAGACAACCAGGAUGUUGGCUUAGAAGCAGCCACCAUUGAAAGAGUGCGUAAUAGCUCACUGGUCGAGUGACCCCGCGCCGAAAAUGUACCGGGGCUAAACAUAUUACCGAAACUGUGGAUGAACCUCUUUAGAGGUUCGUGGUAGGAGAGCGUUCUAAGGGCGGUGAAGUCAGACCGGAAGGACUGGUGGAGCGCUUAGAAGUGAGAAUGCCGGUAUGAGUAGCGAAAGAAGGGUGAGAAUCCCUUCCACCGAAUAUCUAAGGUUUCCUGAGGAAGGCUCGUCCGCUCAGGGUUAGUCGGGACCUAAGCCGAGGCCGAUAGGCGUAGGCGAUGGACAACAGGUAGAGAUUCCUGUACCAGUGCUAAUUGUUUAACCGAUGGGGUGACACAGAAGGAUAGGGAAUCGCACGAAUGGAAAUGUGCGUCCAAGCAGUGAGUGUGAGAAGUAGGCAAAUCCGCUUCUCGCGAAGCAUGAGCUGUGAUGGGGAAGGAAAUUAAGUACGGAAGUUCCUGAUUUCACGCUGUCAAGAAAAGCCUCUAGGAAGAGUAGUACUGCCCGUACCGCAAACCGACACAGGUAGAUGAGGAGAGAAUCCUAAGGUGAGCGAGAGAACUCUCGUUAAGGAACUCGGCAAAAUGACCCCGUAACUUCGGGAGAAGGGGUGCUCUAUUAGGGUGCAAGCCCGAGAGAGCCGCAGUGAAUAGGCCCAGGCGACUGUUUAGCAAAAACACAGGUCUCUGCAAAACCGUAAGGUGACGUAUAGGGGCUGACGCCUGCCCGGUGCUGGAAGGUUAAGAGGAGUGCUUAGCUUCGGCGAAGGUACGAAUUGAAGCCCCAGUAAACGGCGGCCGUAACUAUAACGGUCCUAAGGUAGCGAAAUUCCUUGUCGGGUAAGUUCCGACCCGCACGAAAGGCGCAACGAUCUGGGCACUGUCUCAACGAGAGACUCGGUGAAAUUAUAGUACCUGUGAAGAUGCAGGUUACCCGCGACAGGACGGAAAGACCCCGUGGAGCUUUACUGCAACCUGAUAUGGAAUGUUUGUACCGCUUGUACAGGAUAGGUAGGAGCCGAAGAGACGUGUGCGCUAGCAUACGAGGAGGCAAUGGUGGGAUACUACCCUGGCUGUAUGACCAUUCUAACCCGCCACGCUUAGCGCGUGGGGAGACAGUGUCAGGUGGGCAGUUUGACUGGGGCGGUCGCCUCCUAAAGAGUAACGGAGGCGCCCAAAGGUUCCCUCAGAAUGGAUGGAAAUCAUUCGCAGAGUGUAAAGGCACAAGGGAGCUUGACUGCGAGACUGACAAGUCGAGCAGGGACGAAAGUCGGGCUUAGUGAUCCGGUGGUUCCGCAUGGAAGGGCCAUCGCUCAACGGAUAAAAGCUACCCCGGGGAUAACAGGCUUAUCUCCCCCAAGAGUCCACAUCGACGGGGAGGUUUGGCACCUCGAUGUCGGCUCGUCGCAUCCUGGGGCUGUAGUCGGUCCCAAGGGUUGGGCUGUUCGCCCAUUAAAGCGGCACGCGAGCUGGGUUCAGAACGUCGUGAGACAGUUCGGUCCCUAUCCGUCGCGGGCGCAGGAAAUUU
Molecule: ribosomal RNA, 2257 nt
Filed under: Listeria monocytogenes
Lineage: Bacteria; Bacillati; Bacillota; Bacilli; Caryophanales; Listeriaceae
Description: partial 23S ribosomal RNA
Rfam family: Bacterial large subunit ribosomal RNA
Source: RNAcentral